RNAcentral lists this ribosomal RNA (1435 nucleotides) under uncultured organism. RNAcentral describes it as "SSU rRNA". It matches the Rfam family "Bacterial small subunit ribosomal RNA". The record is from RNAcentral.
AGGCUUAACACAUGCAAGUCGAGGGGCAGCACAGGUAGCAAUACCGGGUGGCGACCGGCGCACGGGUGAGUAACGCGUAUGCAACUUACCUAUCAGAGGGGGAUAACCCGGCGAAAGUCGGACUAAUACCGCAUGAAGCAGGGGCCCCGCAUGGGGAUAUUUGCUAAAGAUUCAUCGCUGAUAGAUAGGCAUGCGUUCCAUUAGGCAGUUGGCGGGGUAACGGCCCACCAAACCGACGAUGGAUAGGGGUUCUGAGAGGAAGGUCCCCCACAUUGGUACUGAGACACGGACCAAACUCCUACGGGAGGCAGCAGUGAGGAAUAUUGGUCAAUGGCCGAGAGGCUGAACCAGCCAAGUCGCGUGAGGGAUGAAGGUUCUAUGGAUCGUAAACCUCUUUUAUAAGGGAAUAAAGUGCGGGACGUGUCCCGUUUUGUAUGUACCUUAUGAAUAAGGAUCGGCUAACUCCGUGCCAGCAGCCGCGGUAAUACGGAGGAUCCGAGCGUUAUCCGGAUUUAUUGGGUUUAAAGGGUGCGUAGGCGGCCUUUUAAGUCAGCGGUGAAAGUCUGUGGCUCAACCAUAGAAUUGCCGUUGAAACUGGGAGGCUUGAGUAUGUUUGAGGCAGGCGGAAUGCGUGGUGUAGCGGUGAAAUGCAUAGAUAUCACGCAGAACCCCGAUUGCGAAGGCAGCCUGCCAAGCCAUUACUGACGCUGAUGCACGAAAGCGUGGGGAUCAAACAGGAUUAGAUACCCUGGUAGUCCACGCAGUAAACGAUGAUCACUAGCUGUUUGCGAUACACUGUAAGCGGCACAGCGAAAGCGUUAAGUGAUCCACCUGGGGAGUACGCCGGCAACGGUGAAACUCAAAGGAAUUGACGGGGGCCCGCACAAGCGGAGGAACAUGUGGUUUAAUUCGAUGAUACGCGAGGAACCUUACCCGGGUUUGAACGCAUUCGGACCGAGGUGGAAACACCCUUUCUAGCAAUAGCCGUUUGCGAGGUGCUGCAUGGUUGUCGUCAGCUCGUGCCGUGAGGUGUCGGCUUAAGUGCCAUAACGAGCGCAACCCUUGCCACUAGUUACUAACAGGUAAAGCUGAGGACUCUGGUGGGACUGCCAGCGUAAGCUGCGAGGAAGGCGGGGAUGACGUCAAAUCAGCACGGCCCUUACAUCCGGGGCGACACACGUGUUACAAUGGCGUGGACAAAGGGAAGCCACCUGGCGACAGGGAGCGAAUCCCCAAACCACGUCUCAGUUCGGAUCGGAGUCUGCAACCCGACUCCGUGAAGCUGGAUUCGCUAGUAAUCGCGCAUCAGCCAUGGCGCGGUGAAUACGUUCCCGGGCCUUGUACACACCGCCCGUCAAGCCAUGGGAGCCGGGGGUACCUGAAGUCCGUAACCGCGAGGAUCGGCCUAGGGUAAAACUGGUGACUGGGGCUAAGA